This 550-nucleotide ribosomal RNA is filed under the name uncultured Glomus. RNAcentral's name for it is "SSU rRNA". It matches the Rfam family "Eukaryotic small subunit ribosomal RNA", at positions 548 to 1098 of the family's 1831-position model. Lineage: Eukaryota; Fungi; Glomeromycota; Glomeromycetes; Glomerales; Glomeraceae. The record is from RNAcentral.
UUGGAGGGCAAGUCUGGUGCCAGCAGCCGCGGUAAUUCCAGCUCCAAUAGCGUAUAUUAAAGUUGUUGCAGUUAAAAAGCUCGUAGUUGAAUUUCGGGAUCAAUAUUUCGGUCAUGCCGUUGGUAUGCACUGUUAUCAUUGAUUUCUCACCUUCUAAAGAACCGUAAUGCCAUUAAUUUGGUGUUACGGGGAAUUAGGACUGUUACCUUGAAAAAAUUAGAGUGUUUAAAGCAGGCUCACGCUUGAAUACAUUAGCAUGGAAUAAUGAAAUAGGACAUCCGAUUCUAUUUUGUUGGUUUCUAGGAUCGAUGUAAUGAUUAAUAGGGAUGGUUGGGGGCAUUAGUAUUCAAUUGUCAGAGGUGAAAUUCUUGGAUUUAUUGAAGACUAACUACUGCGAAAGCAUUUGCCAAGGAUGUUUUCAUUAAUCAAGAACGAAAGUUAGGGGAUCGAAGACGAUCAGAUACCGUCGUAGUCUUAACCAUAAACUAUGCCGACUAGGGAUCGGAUGAUGUUAAUUUUUUAAUGACUCAUUCGGCGCCUUACGGGAAAC